Molecule: ribosomal RNA, 497 nt
Filed under: uncultured bacterium
Lineage: Bacteria
Description: partial 16S ribosomal RNA
Rfam family: Bacterial small subunit ribosomal RNA
Source: RNAcentral
GGGGGGGGGGGGCGGGGGGGGGGAGGGAGGGGAGGCGGGGGGGCAGAGGAGGAGCGUGCUCCUCUGACGGUGGCGGCGGACGGGUGAGUCGCACGUGGAUAACCUACCUGUACGACUGGGGUAACUGCGGGAAACCGGAGCUAAUACCUGAUAGUAUAUUGAACCGCAUGGUUCGAUAGUGAAAGACGGUUUGGCUGUCACGUAUCGAUGGAUCCGCGCCGCAUGUGCUAGUUGGUAAGGUAACGGCUUACCACGGCAACGAUGCGUAGCCGACCUGAGAGGGUGAUCGGCCACACUGGAACUGAGCCACGGUCCAGACUCCUACGGGAGGCAGCAGUAGGGAAUCUUCCGCAAUGGGCGAAAGCUUGACGGAGCAACGCCGCGUGAGUGAUGAAGGUCUUCGGAUCGUAAAACUCUGUUAUUAGGGAAGAACAAAUGUGUAAGUAACUAUGCACGUCUUGACGGUACCUAAUCAGAAAGCCACGGCUAACUACGUG